Molecule: long non-coding RNA, 362 nt
Organism: Cimex lectularius (bed bug)
Lineage: Eukaryota; Metazoa; Arthropoda; Insecta; Hemiptera; Cimicidae
Exons: 3
Source: RefSeq, a predicted model, not a curated record
CUUAUUGAAAAGUGUUCCAGGGUAUUGCAUAAGCCAGCAGGUUGUGAACAAAAAUGGAAAGCCGUGCUAUGGAAUGUGAGGGCCUAAGGCCCAUCUUCAGUGAGGAACUGUAGAACAUAUGUCGUAGACGACCAUCACCACCAACAAGCUGCCUUACACUCUUGUUAUAUCUAUGACAAUAACUCAAGAGGAAAUUAAAAAAAACAGGUUUUCUAGGUCGGUGCCCUCGUGGCUGUGGAGUUUUUGAAUUCAUCAGUGCGACAAAUUCUGGGAUGCUUGAAACACAAACUACCUAGGAUAGCAAAAUUUACUUUAUCAUCUUUUAAAGUAAGCUAAAAAUAAAUCGUUUUACUCAAAAUGCA